UCAACCGAGAUUCCGCAAGUAGUGGCGAGCGAACGCGGAAAAGCCUGUAUAUGAUAAUGGUUAAGAUAGAAGAAGGGAUUGGAAACUUCCGCCAUAGUGGGUGAUAGCCCCGUAUUUGAAAUCUUAACCAUGGUACUAAGUAUACGAGAAGUAGGGCGGGACACGUGAAAUUCUGUCUGAAUAUGGGGGGACCAUCCUCCAAGGCUAAAUACUCAUCAUCGACCGAUAGUGAACCAGUACCGUGAGGGAAAGGCGAAAAGAACCCCGGAAGGGGAGUGAAAUAGAACCUGAAACCUGAUGCAUACAUACAGUGGGAGCAUCUUUGUGGUGUGACUGCGUACCUUUUGUAUAAUGGGUCAACGACUUACAUUCAGUAGCGAGCUUAACCGAGUAGGGGAGGCGUAGGGAAACCGAGUCUUAAUAGGGCGACUAGUUGCUGGGUGUAGACCCGAAACCGAGUGAUCUAUCCAUGGCCAGGAUGAAGGUGCGGUAAAACGCAUUGGAGGUCCGAACCCACGCAUGUUGCAAAAUGCGGGGAUGAGCUGUGGAUAGGGGUGAAAGGCUAAACAAACUCGGAGAUAGCUGGUUCUCCCCGAAAACUAUUUAGGUAGUGCCUCGAGUAUGAGACUGAUGGGGGUAAAGCACUGUUAUGGCUAGGGGGUUAUUGCAACUUACCAACCCAUGGCAAACUAAGAAUACCAUCAAGUUGCUCCUCGGGAGACAGACAUCGGGUGCUAACGUCCGGUGUCAAGAGGGAAACAACCCAGACCGCCAGCUAAGGUCCCAAAUGAUAGAUUAAGUGGUAAACGAAGUGGGAAGGCACAGACAGCCAGGAUGUUGGCUUAGAAGCAGCCAUCAUUUAAAGAAAGCGUAAUAGCUCACUGGUCGAGUCUUCCUGCGCGGAAGAUGUAACGGGGCUCAAAUCUAUAACCGAAGCUGCGGAUAUACUUUUGUAUAUGGUAGGGGAGCGUUCUGUAAGCCUGUGAAGGUGACUUGUAAAGGUUGCUGGAGGUAUCAGAAGUGCGAAUGUUGACAUGAGUAGCGAUAAAGCGGGUGAAAAGCCCGCUCGCCGAAAGCCCAAGGUUUCCUACGCAACGUUCAUCGGCGUAGGGUGAGUCGGCCCCUAAGGCGAGGCAGAAAUGCGUAGUCGAUGGGAAACAGGUUAAUAUUCCUGUACUUUGAUUCAAUGCGAUGUGGGGACGGAGAAGGUUAGGUUAGCAAACUGUUGGAAUAGUUUGUUUAAGCCAGUAGGUGGAAAGAGUAGGCAAAUCCGCUCUUUCUUAACACCGAGACGUGAUGACGAGUGUCUACGGACAUGAAGUGACCAAUACCACGCUUCCAGGAAAAGCCACUAAGCUUCAGUUGAAUCAGAACCGUACCGCAAACCGACACAGGUGGGCAGGAUGAGAAUUCUAAGGCGCUUGAGAGAACUCGGGAGAAGGAACUCGGCAAAUUGAUACCGUAACUUCGGGAGAAGGUAUGCCCUCUAAUGUUAAGGACUUGCUCCGUAAGCAUCUGAGGGUCGCAGAGAAUCGGUGGCUGCGACUGUUUAUUAAAAACACAGCACUCUGCUAACACGAAAGUGGACGUAUAGGGUGUGACGCCUGCCCGGUGCUGGAAGGUUAAUUGAAGAUGUGCAAGCAUCGGAUCGAAGCCCCAGUAAACGGCGGCCGUAACUAUAACGGUCCUAAGGUAGCGAAAUUCCUUGUCGGGUAAGUUCCGACCCGCACGAAUGGCGUAACGAUGGCCACACUGUCUCCUCCCGAGACUCAGCGAAGUUGAAAUGGUUGUGAAGAUGCAAUCUCCCCGCUGCUAGACGGAAAGACCCCGUGAACCUUUACUGUAGCUUUGCAUUGGACUUUGAAGUCACUUGUGUAGGAUAGGUGGGAGGCUUUGAAGCAGAGACGCCAGUCUCUGUGGAGCUGUC
This 1927-nucleotide ribosomal RNA is filed under the name Kingella kingae. Its description in RNAcentral is "partial 23S ribosomal RNA". It matches the Rfam family "Bacterial large subunit ribosomal RNA", at positions 225 to 2190 of the family's 2925-position model. Lineage: Bacteria; Pseudomonadati; Pseudomonadota; Betaproteobacteria; Neisseriales; Neisseriaceae. The record is from RNAcentral.